Cuculus canorus (common cuckoo) is the source of this 465-nucleotide long non-coding RNA. RefSeq lists it as uncharacterized. The record is from RefSeq and is a predicted model, not a curated record. Lineage: Eukaryota; Metazoa; Chordata; Aves; Cuculiformes; Cuculidae. The transcript is spliced from 3 exons.
GCAGAACACAGGGAAGGGUUCAGAAGCACAGCCCCCAAGGAACAGCAACAGUGAAGAGUCAGAGGGCUCAAAAAGAGGGUAGGUGCUGUUAGGAAGGAGCAGAGUCCCUUCUUUGGCCAUUCAGGAGUGGAGAAGGACUUUAAUGGUUUGGGGGAUGGUUAAGGGAAGUGAGAUGGGUUCAUUGAUCUUUCUCUGUUUAGUUUGGCAGUCAUAUGUGAGGGCCAUCCACGUUUGCCCUCUCUGCAGCUGAUGGGUGAUACGAUGAAGUUGAGACGCAAGGUCUUUGAGUAGUCGAAUCCCACCAUUGUGAGUUUUUUUCAUUGGCUGAUGGUCUCUGUAAUUCCAGUCUCCAUUGCUGCAUGUUAGGUAAUCUGCGAACAUCUGGAUCCCUGUGGCUCAUCUUUCUGUUGUCCUGGGUAUCGCCACUACUGCAUUCCUACAAUGGGAGUGGUGAAGAGGAGAGGU